GCUCAGGGAGGGUUUAUGGGGCGGUGACAUGUAACCUGAUAACCCCAAGGAUAUGGAGGGGGAGGGAGCUUGGAGGGUUAGGAAGCGGAGUUCCACGGUGUGAUUCACGCGUACAGGAUCACUCCGGCCGCUGCGUGGUGGCUAGAGUGGAGGCAGAGAGGUCAGCCAAGUGGCUACCAUAGUGUCCCAGCUUGCUACCUGCAGAUGGCGCUCAUCAUCUCAUCCAAACUGCUCCGGACCCCUGCAUGCGGAGGAGGGGAGGACAAGCGCCCUCAGCCAAACUUGGUGACCGUUUCUCCCCAGGGCCUUUCCAUCUGAUCCCAAACCACAAGUAAAAUCAGCAUUCCUCCUCUCCCACUCUCCCCUGAGUUUGGGGUUCCAGAACUCAGCAAAAAGUUUCUCUUUUUCCUCACAUAAUUAUUGUAUAAGAAAUAAAGUCAGAGGCAUUUCUGGA
Chlorocebus sabaeus (green monkey) is the source of this 454-nucleotide long non-coding RNA. RefSeq lists it as uncharacterized. Lineage: Eukaryota; Metazoa; Chordata; Mammalia; Primates; Cercopithecidae. The record is from RefSeq and is a predicted model, not a curated record.